This 497-nucleotide ribosomal RNA is filed under the name uncultured bacterium. RNAcentral's name for it is "partial 16S ribosomal RNA". It matches the Rfam family "Bacterial small subunit ribosomal RNA", at positions 28 to 507 of the family's 1533-position model. The record is from RNAcentral.
GAUGAACGCUGGCGGCGUGCCUAAUACAUGCAAGUCGAGCGAACAGACGAGGAGCUUGCUCCUUUGACGUUAGCGGCGGACGGGUGAGUAACACGUGGAUAACCUACCUAUAAGACUGGGAUAACUUCGGGAAACCGGAGCUAAUACCGGAUAACAUGUUGAACCGCAUGGUUCAACAGUGAAAGACGGUCUUGCUGUCACUUAUAGAUGUAUCCGCGCCGCAUUAGCUAGUUGGUAAGGUAACGGCUUACCAAGGCAACGAUGCGUAGCCGACCUGAGAGGGUGAUCGGCCACACUGGAACUGAGACACGGUCCAGACUCCUACGGGAGGCAGCAGUAGGGAAUCUUCCGCAAUGGGCGAAAGCCUGACGGAGCAACGCCGCGUGAGUGAAGAAGGUCUUCGGAUCGUAAAACUCUGUUAUUAGGGAAGAACAAAUGUGUAAGUAACUAUGCACGUCUUGACGGUACCUAAUCAGAAAGCCACGGCUAACUACGUG